UGGGGAAUUUUCCGCAAUGGGCGAAAGCCUGACGGAGCAAUACCGCGUGAGGGAGGAAGGCUCUUGGGUUGUAAACCUCUUUUCUCAGGGAAGAAUCCUGACGGUACCUGAGGAAUCAGCAUCGGCUAACUCCGUGCCAGCAGCCGCGGUAAUACGGAGGGUCCAAGCGUUGUCCGAAAUUACUGGGUGUAAAGGGUGUGCAGGCGGAGCAGUAAGUCAGAGGUGAAAGCCCGCGGCUCAACCGCGGAAUGGCCUUUGAUACUGCUGUUCUUGAGUCCCGGAGAAGCCAUCGGAAUUCGUGGUGUAGCGGUGAAAUGCGUAGAUAUCACGAGGAACACCAGAAGCGUAAGCGGAUGGCUAGACGGUGACUGACGCUCAGGCACGAAAGCGUGGGGAGCAAACAGGAUUAGAUACCCCGGUAGUCC
RNAcentral lists this ribosomal RNA (425 nucleotides) under uncultured prokaryote. RNAcentral describes it as "partial 16S ribosomal RNA". It matches the Rfam family "Bacterial small subunit ribosomal RNA", at positions 355 to 796 of the family's 1533-position model. The record is from RNAcentral.